Molecule: ribosomal RNA, 274 nt
Filed under: uncultured bacterium
Lineage: Bacteria
Description: partial 16S ribosomal RNA
Rfam family: Bacterial small subunit ribosomal RNA
Source: RNAcentral
AUACGGAGGGUGCAAGCGUUAUCCGGAUUCAUUGGGUUUAAAGGGUUCGCAGGCGGCGUAUUAAGUCAGUGGUGAAAUCCCGAGGCUCAACCUCGGAACUGCCAUUGAUACUGGUAUGCUAGAGUAUAGUUGGCGUUGGCGGAAUGUAUCAUGUAGCGGUGAAAUGCUUAGAUAUGAUACAGAACACCGAUCGCGAAGGCAGCUGACGAAACUAUAACUGACGCUCAGGAACGAAAGCGUGGGGAGCGAACAGGAUUAGAAACCCCAGUAGUCC